This is a non-coding RNA of Macaca mulatta (Rhesus monkey), 672 nucleotides long. NCBI's taxonomy places the organism in Eukaryota, Metazoa, Chordata, Mammalia, Primates, Cercopithecidae. The record is from RefSeq and is a predicted model, not a curated record.
CCAAAGUGCUGGGAUUACAGGUGUAAGCCACUGUGCUUGCCCUCAUUCUUCUUUUCUUAAGAGAAGCACUUCAACAAGAAUUCUUCUCAGGCUCUGCUUUUGGGGAAAACAACCUAAGAUACAGCAAUGGACAGAUAAUGUCUUCUGUUCUUCUACUCAACUUCCUGUAGACCUAUGCAGAAAUUUUCUUUGUGGUGUGGAUGAAUCAUAGAGCAUGUACAUAGGUUCAUGAUGCUCUCUCUGGCCACCUUCGAGACAGGAAGAAAUUGCAGAGGAUCACUGUGAGAGGACUUUGAGGAUCAAAUCCUGAAGUGGAGCUAGGGGACAGCUCUUGUCUGAUUUCAACUGAUUGAGACCACCGACCCUUCAACUGGGCCUGCACAAAUGCCUAAAAUGUUAUCUUUUGGCAUCAGAGGGCCAAAACUCCUUCCUCAGAUCAUGCUACUGAACAUGCGUCCUAUGAAGAGUCAUGAUCCUCAGUUACACUUGCAAAGACCAUCAAUUACGUCAUCUUUCCCCACUACCAAUCACCUUUCCCCAUGUCUGGACCAUCUUAAUCCUCUAUCCCACAAAUAUCCUUAAAACCCCAUCUUCAGGGAGAUGUGCUAGAGACAUGUUCUCCCAUUUCCUCACUUGGCUGCCUCAUGAAUAAACUCCCUUUUGUAAAACUCA